AUCCAUCUGACGAGUCCCAAAUAGGACGAAACGCACAUCAAACUGGAU
This 48-nucleotide non-coding RNA is filed under the name Schistosoma mansoni. The record is from RNAcentral. Lineage: Eukaryota; Metazoa; Platyhelminthes; Trematoda; Strigeidida; Schistosomatidae.